This 86-nucleotide transfer RNA is filed under the name Candidatus Dojkabacteria bacterium. RNAcentral's name for it is "tRNA-Ser". It matches the Rfam family "tRNA". From Rfam's summary of the family: Transfer RNA (tRNA) molecules are approximately 80 nucleotides in length. Their secondary structure includes four short double-helical elements and three loops (D, anti-codon, and T loops). The record is from RNAcentral.
GGAGAGGUGGCCGAGUGGUUUAAGGCGCAUCGUUGGAAACGAUGUUUGUGUAUUCCACAACGCAGGUUCGAAUCCUGUCCUCUCCG